RNAcentral lists this long non-coding RNA (634 nucleotides) under Homo sapiens (human). RNAcentral describes it as "non-protein coding SNHG11:20". The record is from RNAcentral. Lineage: Eukaryota; Metazoa; Chordata; Mammalia; Primates; Hominidae.
CUCCAGGCAGCUCACUUUGGCCUCUGUUCCUGGAUCCCCUUUGCUCUUUUCUGCGCCUGCAUUCAUAGUCCACUGUGUGCAGAGGCAUGGGAGUUGUCAUGUUGGGAACAUGCUAGACCUCAGUAUCCUUGAGGGAUGCUGCCUUGGGUCUGGAAACUGUUAGAGGAAACCCCAAGAGGUGCAGGCACUGAGCCUCUCAGGACAAUGACCUGGGGUCCCAGCUCCCCUGGAGGGGCCUCCUCAUGAUUGUUUGGGGGUUGAUCACAGACCAAGAGUGACGAGUGAUGUCACCCUGUGACUCAUGGCUGGACCUUCUUGCCCCUAUUGUCUCAGCACAACAUUAUUCGACUUUUCCCUCAGCGUGGGUGGGCAGAGGAAAAGCCCUGUGGCUCUGGGGACUUGGGAUCCAGAGUUGAAGACCCUUCAGCUGGCUCUGCCCUGCCAGUGCCACAGAGUGCCAUGGCCCAGGAAGACAGGUUUUCUUCCAUCUAGGCCAGGCCAUCCAGUGGCCAUCCUCCGUGUCCUCCCGCCUCCUCCUGGUGUGACUUCUGAAAACCAAGAAUUUGUUCCUGUUGACUUUUUCUGUGCUAUGGACCAUUGUCCUCUCACCCACUCAAUAAAUCUUGAAACAUGC